RNAcentral lists this unclassified non-coding RNA (551 nucleotides) under Metschnikowia sp. JSKim-2014. Its description in RNAcentral is "partial contains 18S rRNA, ITS1, 5.8S rRNA, and ITS2". The stretch from base 201 to 354 matches the Rfam family "5.8S ribosomal RNA". The record is from RNAcentral. Lineage: Eukaryota; Fungi; Ascomycota; Pichiomycetes; Serinales; Metschnikowiaceae.
GGACUGCGGAAGGAUCAUUAAAGAGUAAGGGUGCUCAGCGCCCGACCUCCAACCCUUUGUUGUUAAAACUACCUUGUUGCUUUGGCGGGACCGCUCGGUCUCGAGCCGCUGGGGAUUCGUCCCAGGCGAGCGCCCGCCAGAGUUAAACCAAACUCUUGUUAUUUAACCGGUCGUCUGAGUUAAAAUUUUGAAUAAAUCAAAACUUUCAACAACGGAUCUCUUGGUUCUCGCAUCGAUGAAGAACGCAGCGAAAUGCGAUAAGUAAUGUGAAUUGCAGAAUUCAGUGAAUCAUCGAAUCUUUGAACGCACAUUGCGCCCCUUGGUAUUCCGAGGGGCAUGCCUGUUCGAGCGUCAUUACACCACUCAAGCUAUGCUUGGUAUUGGGCGUCGUCCUUAGUUGGGCGCGCCUUAAAGACCUCGGCGAGGCCACUCCGGCUUUAGGCGUAGUAGAAUUUAUUCGAACGUCUGUCAAAGGAGAGGAACUCUGCCGACUGAAACCUUUAUUUUUCUAGGUUGACCUCGGAUCAGGUAGGGAUACCCGCUGAACUUAA